This 522-nucleotide ribosomal RNA is filed under the name uncultured bacterium. Its description in RNAcentral is "partial 16S ribosomal RNA". It matches the Rfam family "Bacterial small subunit ribosomal RNA", at positions 355 to 893 of the family's 1533-position model. The record is from RNAcentral.
UGGGGAAUAUUGCACAAUGGGCGAAAGCCUGAUGCAGCAACGCCGCGUGAGUGAUGAAGGCCUUCGGGUUGUAAAGCUCUGUCUUUUGGGACGAUAAUGACGGUACCAAAGGAGGAAGCCACGGCUAACUACGUGCCAGCAGCCGCGGUAAUACGUAGGUGGCAAGCGUUGUCCGGAUUUACUGGGCGUAAAGGAUGCGUAGGCGGAUUUUUAAGUGAGAUGUGAAAUACCCGGGCUUAACUUGGGUGCUGCAUUUCAAACUGGGAAUCUAGAGUGCGGGAGAGGAGAAUGGAAUUCCUAGUGUAGCGGUGAAAUGCGUAGAGAUUAGGAAGAACACCAGUGGCGAAGGCGAUUCUCUGGACCGUAACUGACGCUGAGGCAUGAAAGCGUGGGUAGCAAACAGGAUUAGAUACCCUGGUAGUCCACGCCGUAAACGAUGAGUACUAGGUGUAGGAGGUAUCGACCCCUUCUGUGCCGCAGUUAACACAAUAAGUACUCCGCCUGGGAAGUACGAUCGCAAGA